CAUAUUUUAGAGCCAAAAUCACAACUUUAAAAUCAAAAUUAUUACCUUCAAAUCCACCUUCAAACUUAAAAUUUAAACCAAAAUUAUCCAUAUAAAUAAAUUUAUUGUAACCCAUUUCUUCUUAUUUAUAAACUGCACCUUGACCUGAAUUCAGUUUUAAUAAUAAACUAUGAAUAUUAAAAUUCUAAUGAAAUAUUCAACUACGACGAUAUACAAAUUAAUUAAAAUAAGUAAAUUAAAUCGUGGAUUAUCGAUUACAGAACAGGUUCCUCUGAAAAGACUAAAAUACCGCCAAAAUUUUUAAUUUUAAAGAAUAUAACUAAUAAUAAUUAAAUAUUAAUAAUUUACACUUGU
Molecule: ribosomal RNA, 354 nt
Filed under: Pelthydrus dudgeoni
Lineage: Eukaryota; Metazoa; Arthropoda; Insecta; Coleoptera; Hydrophilidae
Description: partial 12S ribosomal RNA
Source: RNAcentral